RNAcentral lists this unclassified non-coding RNA (252 nucleotides) under uncultured fungus. Its description in RNAcentral is "partial contains 5.8S ribosomal RNA, internal transcribed spacer 2, and large subunit ribosomal RNA". The record is from RNAcentral. Lineage: Eukaryota; Fungi.
AACGCACAUUGCGCCCCCUGGUAUUCCGGGGGGCACGCCCGUCCGAGUGUCAUUUCCACCCCAAGCUUAGGGCUUGUUGUUGGGCACCGCCCGCAAGGGCGCGCCUUAAAUCUGUUGGCGCCUUCGAGGGCCCCCGAACGCACAGAGCCUAACCGCCCGCGUUCGGGAGCCCGGUUGGAGGCAGCCCGUUUGCCUACGCGCAACUUUGUACCGUAUGGCCUCGGAUCGGGCGGGGUUACCCGCUGAACUUAA